This 472-nucleotide ribosomal RNA is filed under the name uncultured bacterium. RNAcentral describes it as "SSU rRNA". It matches the Rfam family "Bacterial small subunit ribosomal RNA", at positions 26 to 518 of the family's 1533-position model. The record is from RNAcentral.
AGGACGAACGCUGGCGGCGUGCUUAACACAUGCAAGUCGAGCGGAAAGGCCCUUCGGGGUACUCGAGCGGCGAACGGGUGAGUAACACGUGAGUAAUCUGCCCCUAGCUCUGGGAUAGCUCCGGGAAACCGGGAUUAAUACCGGAUACGACCACCUUAGACAUCUUUUGUGGUGGAAAGAAUUUCGGCUAGGGAUGAGCUCGCGGCCUAUCAGCUUGUUGGUGGGGUAACGCCUACCAAGGCGACGACGGGUAGCCGGCCUGAGAGGGCGACCGGCCACACUGGGACUGAGACACGGCCCAGACUCCUACGGGAGGCAGCAGUGGGGAUAUUGCGCAAUGGGCGAAAGCCUGACGCAGCGACGCCGCGUGGGGGAUGAAGGCCUUCGGGUUGUAAACCCCUUUCAGCAGGGACGAAGCGAAAGUGACGGUACCUGCAGAAGAAGCGCCGGCUAACUACGUGCCAGCAGCCGC